This 104-nucleotide microRNA precursor is filed under the name Marmota monax (woodchuck). Lineage: Eukaryota; Metazoa; Chordata; Mammalia; Rodentia; Sciuridae. The record is from RNAcentral.
AUACAGAUCAUCUGAGGAUCUUGUUGACAUUGAGAUUCUGAUUCCAUAGAUCUGAAGUGAGGCCUCAGAUUCUGGCUGUUAAUAAAAUCCCAGGUGAUGUCGAC